GGAUGAAGAACGCAGCGAAAUGCGAUAAGUAGUGUGAAUUGCAGAAUUCCGUGAAUCAUCGAAUCUUUGAACGCACAUUGCGCCUCCUGGUAAUCCGUGAGGCAUGCCUGUUCGAGCGUCACUAUAAAGCAACUCAACUGCGCCGGUGGUUGGUCAUGGAGGAAGAGCAAAUCUCAUCGUGUGUCUCCCCUCCCAAAAUCAACGGCGGAAUGUCACUGGCACUCGGUGUAGUAGUAUUAUUCGCCGAUCACCCAGUGCUGUUCCUGCCACCCAAACCCCCACUAUUCUCUUGAUUGACCUCGGAUCAGGUAGGGAUACCCGCUGAACUUAAGCAUAUCAAUAAGCGGAGGA
Molecule: unclassified non-coding RNA, 351 nt
Filed under: soil metagenome
Description: partial contains 5.8S ribosomal RNA, internal transcribed spacer 2, and large subunit ribosomal RNA
Rfam family: 5.8S ribosomal RNA (bases 2-121)
Source: RNAcentral